Molecule: ribosomal RNA, 430 nt
Filed under: uncultured Pseudomonas sp.
Lineage: Bacteria; Pseudomonadati; Pseudomonadota; Gammaproteobacteria; Pseudomonadales; Pseudomonadaceae
Description: bacterial SSU rRNA
Rfam family: Bacterial small subunit ribosomal RNA
Source: RNAcentral
CGAAGCAACGCGAAGAACCUUACCAGGCCUUGACAUGCAGAGAACUUUCAGAGAUGGAUUGGUGCCUUCGGGAACUCUGACACAGGUGCUGCAUGGCUGUCGUCAGCUCGUGUCGUGAGAUGUUGGGUUAAGUCCCGUAACGAGCGCAACCCUUGUCCUUAGUUACCAGCACGUUAUGGUGGGCACUCUAAGGAGACUGCCGGUGACAACCGGAGGAAGUGGGGAUGACGUCAAGUCAUCCAUGGCCCUUACGGCCUGGGCUACACACGUGCUACAAUGGUCGGUACAAAGGGGUUGCCAAGCCGCGAGGUGGAGCUAAUCCCAUAAAACCGAUCGUAGUCCGGAUCGCAGUCUGCAACUCGACUGCGUGAAGUCGGAAUCGCUAGUAAUCGUGAAUCAGAAUGUCACGGUGAAUACGUUCCCGGGCCUU